CAGCCGCCGCGGUAAUACGUAGGGUGCAAGCGUUAUCCGGAAUUAUUGGGCGUAAAGAGCUCGUAGGCGGUUUGUCGCGUCUGUCGUGAAAGUCCGGGGCUCAACUCCGGAUCUGCGGUGGGUACGGGCAGACUAGAGUGAUGUAGGGGAGACUGGAAUUCCUGGUGUAGCGGUGGAAUGCGCAGAUAUCAGGAGGAACACCGAUGGCGAAGGCAGGUCUCUGGGCAUUAACUGACGCUGAGGAGCGAAAGCAUGGGGAGCGAACAGGAUUAGAUACCCCUGUAGUCCCUGUCUCUUAUAC
RNAcentral lists this ribosomal RNA (301 nucleotides) under uncultured bacterium. RNAcentral describes it as "partial 16S ribosomal RNA". It matches the Rfam family "Bacterial small subunit ribosomal RNA", at positions 509 to 807 of the family's 1533-position model. The record is from RNAcentral.